This 285-nucleotide ribosomal RNA is filed under the name bacterium C7(2012). RNAcentral's name for it is "partial 16S ribosomal RNA". It matches the Rfam family "Bacterial small subunit ribosomal RNA", at positions 9 to 269 of the family's 1533-position model. The record is from RNAcentral.
GAGUUUGAUCAUGGCUCAGGACGAACGCUGGCGGCGUGCCUAAUACAUGCAAGUCGAGCGCGGGAAGCGAGCGGAUCCCUUCGGGGUGAAGCUCGUGGAACGAGCGGCGGACGGGUGAGUAACCCGUGGGCAACCUGCCUGUAAGAUCGGAAUAACCCCGGGAAACCGGGGCUAAUGCCGGGUAAUACUUUUCUUCGCAUGAAGAUAAGUUGAAAGAUGGCUUCUCGCUAUCACUUACAGAUGGGCCCGCGGCGCAUUAGCUAGUUGGUGAGGUAACGGCUCACC